GUUUGUGAUGAAAAAACACGCUGUGCAAGAUGCUCAGAGGCAUUUCGUCUCGCUUUUCGUUCAGAGUUCAAAUUCCGCCGAGGCCGACUUUGCCUUUCAUCCUUUCAGGGUCGAUAAAACAAGUACCAGUUGAACACUGGGGUCAAUGUAAUCGACU
Molecule: long non-coding RNA, 157 nt
Organism: Octopus sinensis (East Asian common octopus)
Lineage: Eukaryota; Metazoa; Mollusca; Cephalopoda; Octopoda; Octopodidae
Exons: 3
Source: RefSeq, a predicted model, not a curated record